UGGGGAGUGGUGUAACCGGCAGCACGGGACACUUUGGAUGUUCAAGAUCAGGUUCGAAUCCUGGCUCCCCAG
Molecule: transfer RNA, 72 nt
Filed under: Thermoleophilaceae bacterium
Lineage: Bacteria; Bacillati; Actinomycetota; Thermoleophilia; Thermoleophilales; Thermoleophilaceae
Also listed under: 3 other names
Description: tRNA-Gln
Rfam family: tRNA
About the family: Transfer RNA (tRNA) molecules are approximately 80 nucleotides in length. Their secondary structure includes four short double-helical elements and three loops (D, anti-codon, and T loops).
Source: RNAcentral